RNAcentral lists this long non-coding RNA (233 nucleotides) under Elaeis guineensis (African oil palm). RNAcentral describes it as "long non-coding RNA (EGUI_LNC057593)". The record is from RNAcentral. Lineage: Eukaryota; Viridiplantae; Streptophyta; Magnoliopsida; Arecales; Arecaceae.
AAUUUUUAAUUAUUUUUAUAUUUUUUUUUAAGAGAAGAGGAAAAAGAGAUAGAUGAGAAGAGAAUUCUAAAGAUGAGAGCUUAAGGAGUUCUAAAUCGAGAGACGAUAGAGGAGAGUGUUUUAAUUAGGGUUCAUGGUUGUCGGUUAGUAAUCAAGUUAUGCAGACAAUCUUAGCUAAAGAUAAUGCUAGAUCUAGACAGCUCCUAAUUAUCAAGGUUGUCUUUAAGCACUCC